GGACCCGUGGCUCAGUGGUAGAGCGUGUGAUUCCAGCUGUUGGUAUUUCCACAAGGUCAUCCGUUCAAUCCGGGUCGGGUUCA
Non-coding RNA from Heliocybe sulcata, 83 nucleotides. Lineage: Eukaryota; Fungi; Basidiomycota; Agaricomycetes; Gloeophyllales; Gloeophyllaceae. The record is from the annotation of a GenBank genome assembly.